AGUGAACGCUGGCGGUAGGCCUAACACAUGCAAGUCGAACGGCAGCACAGUAAGAGCUUGCUCUUACGGGUGGCGAGUGGCGGACGGGUGAGGAAUACAUCGGAAUCUACUUUUUCGUGGGGGAUAACGUAGGGAAACUUACGCUAAUACCGCAUACGACCUACGGGUGAAAGCAGGGGAUCUUCGGACCUUGCGCGAUUGAAUGAGCCGAUGUCGGAUUAGCUAGUUGGCGGGGAAAGGGCCCACAAGGCGACGAUCCGUAGCUGGUCUGAGAGGAUGAUCAGCCACACUGGAACUGAGACACGGUCCAGACUCCUACGGGAGGCAGCAGUGGGGAAUAUUGGACAAUGGGCGCAAGCCUGAUCCAGCCAUACCGCGUGGGUGAAGAAGGCCUUCGGGUUGUAAAGCCCUUUUGUUGGGAAAGAAAAGCAGCAGGUUAAUACCCCGCUGUUCUGACGGUACCCAAAGAAUAAGCACCGGCUAACUUCGUG
Molecule: ribosomal RNA, 491 nt
Filed under: uncultured bacterium
Lineage: Bacteria
Description: partial 16S ribosomal RNA
Rfam family: Bacterial small subunit ribosomal RNA
Source: RNAcentral